UUUCCAUUUCCCUUUCCAAAUCUCUCCUCAAAUUUCCCAAUCAAACACAGCAUUAAGGUUUCCGGCACAAAUAAAAUUUAAUGGCAUUCUAAAAUUAAAAAUAAAAAAUAUAAAAAAGGCCAUUGAACAAGGCCAUUGAACGAUGCCAUUGGAAUCCCAACAUUAGAGUUCCACUUGGGAACUAACUCACAAAAAGAAGGGGAAAAAUCCUAGGGUUUGCAAGUGCUUAUGUUCGGGGAAAUCCUAAGGUUUGGAUUUCAAUGAAAUUGAUUUCUCUAUACUCUCUCUAUCUUCCUUUGACAUUGGCUUGAUCACCACAACCCAAAUCAGUAACUCCCACUCUUCUCACAGAUGUGACUCACCUUUGCUCUAUCAGGGAUUGGACUCCAGAAAAGCUCUGAUUUGUUCAAAUUAUUGUUCUUCUAUGGUUUAAGCUUUUGAGGGCGCAAGGGCAUACUUGUGAAUGUUCCAUUGGAGAAUUAGCUCUGGCCAUGGUGUGCGUCAUUAUCAAAGCAUUUGAAGAGUAUAUUUAUGAGACUCUAUUCUAAUUUGUGUAGACAAUUCUGUUCUAGCAAUUACAAGGAACUUAUAAGAACUCGAUUUGGGCAUUGACUUCCACAAAUAUUAUUGAAGUACUAUAGCAAUACACUCUUUUCAUGGAUAUGAAGAUUUCUUUUUUUUUUUGGAUAUGUAAAUAUUUAUUUGUUUAAUUUUUGUUUAUGAUAUUAUGAUAAUGAUAUUGACUUUGUUAAAGUAGGAACAAUGUUUUGAUUUUAUUUUAUUAGUAAAGAAUAAUGCGUCAAUUGUAAUUACAUUUAAUAAAUAAAAUUUUAUUUGUUUAUCU
Molecule: non-coding RNA, 844 nt
Organism: Camellia sinensis
Lineage: Eukaryota; Viridiplantae; Streptophyta; Magnoliopsida; Ericales; Theaceae
Source: RefSeq, a predicted model, not a curated record